Molecule: ribosomal RNA, 206 nt
Filed under: uncultured bacterium
Lineage: Bacteria
Description: partial 16S ribosomal RNA
Rfam family: Bacterial small subunit ribosomal RNA
Source: RNAcentral
CGUAGGCGGCCUCCGCAAGUCAGUUGUGAAAUCUCCGAGCUUAACUCGGAAAGGUCAACUGAUACUGCGGGGCUAGAGUGCGGAAGGGGCAACUGGAAUUCUUGGUGUAGCGGUGAAAUGCGUAGAUAUCAAGAGGAACACCUGCGGCGAAGGCGGGUUGCUAGGCCGACACUGACGCUGAGGCGCGAAAGCUAGGGGAGCGAACG